GACGAACGCUGGCGGCGUGCCUAAUACAUGCAAGUCGAGCGAGCUUGCCUAGAUGAUUUUAGUGCUUGCACUAAAUGAAACUAGAUACAAGCGAGCGGCGGACGGGUGAGCAACACGUGGGUAACCUGCCCAAGAGACUGGGAUACCAUUUGGAAACUGGUGCUAAUACCGGAUAAUAAAGCAGAUCGCAUGAUCAGCUUUUGAAAGGCGGCGUAAGCUGUCGCUAAGGGGAUGGCCCCGCGGUGCAUUAGCUAGUUGGUAAGGUAACGGCUUACCAAGGCGACGAUGCAUAGCCGAGUUGAGAGACUGAUCGGCCACAUUGGGACUGAGACACGGCCCAA
RNAcentral lists this ribosomal RNA (341 nucleotides) under uncultured bacterium. RNAcentral's name for it is "bacterial SSU rRNA". It matches the Rfam family "Bacterial small subunit ribosomal RNA", at positions 28 to 334 of the family's 1533-position model. The record is from RNAcentral.